GACGAACGCUGGCGGCGUGCUUAACACAUGCAAGUCGAACGGUAAGGCCCUUCGGGGUACACGAGUGGCGAACGGGUGAGUAACACGUGGGUGAUCUGCCCUGCACUUCGGGAUAAGCCUGGGAAACUGGGUCUAAUACCGGAUAGGACCACUGCCUGCAUGGGUGGUGGUGGAAAGCUUUUGCGGUGUGGGACGGGCCCGCGGCCUAUCAGCUUGUUGGUGGGGUAAUGGCCUACCAAGGCGACGACGGGUAGCCGGCCUGAGAGGGUGACCGGUCACACUGGGACUGAGAUACGGCCCAGACUCCUACGGGAGGCAGCAGUGGGGAAUAUUGCACAAUGGGCGCAAGCCUGAUGCAGCGACGCCGCGUGAGGGAUGACGGCCUUCGGGUUGUAAACCUCUUUCAGCUAUGACGAAGCGCAAGUGACGGUAGUAGCAGAAGAAGGACCGGCCAACUACGUGCCAGCAGCCGCAGUAA
This 478-nucleotide ribosomal RNA is filed under the name uncultured bacterium. RNAcentral describes it as "partial 16S ribosomal RNA". It matches the Rfam family "Bacterial small subunit ribosomal RNA", at positions 28 to 523 of the family's 1533-position model. The record is from RNAcentral.